AUGGCAGCCACUGGUUUCGCUUCGCUCUUUUUUUACUUUUGCAUUUUGCUCUUGUGCCAUAGCUCCAUGGCACAACUGUUUGGCAUGAGCUUUAACCCAUGGCAAAGCUCUCGCCAAGGGGGUUUCAGAGAGUGUACAUUCAAUAGGCUUCAAGCAUCUACACCACUUCGUCAAGUGAGGUCACAAGCAGGCCUGACUGAGUAUUUUGAUGAGGAAAAUGAGCAAUUUCGUUGUGCUGGUGUAUUUGUCAUCCGCCGUGUAAUCGAACCUCGUGGUUAUUUGUUACCACGAUACCACAACACUCACGGAUUAGUCUACAUCAUCCAAGGAAGUGGUUUCGCCGGAUUGUCUUUUCCUGGAUGCCCAGAGACAUUCCAAAAGCAGUUUCAAAAAUAUGGGCAAGCACAAUCCGUACAGGGUCAAAGCCAAAGCCAAAAGUUCAAAGAUGAGCACCAAAAAGUUCACCGUUUCAGACAAGGAGAUGUCAUUGCACUACCGGCAGGCAUUGUACAUUGGUUCUACAAUGACGGUGAUGCGCCAAUUGUGGCUAUCUAUGUUUUCGACGUAAACAACUAUGCUAAUCAACUUGAGCCUAGGCAUAAGGAAUUUUUGUUCGCUGGCAACUAUAGGAGUUCCCAACUUCACUCUAGUCAAAACAUAUUCAGUGGUUUCGAUGUUCGAUUGCUUGCUGAGGCCUUGGGUACAAGUGGAAAAAUAGCGCAAAGGCUUCAAAGUCAAAAUGAUGACAUAAUUCAUGUGAAUCAUACCCUUAAAUUUCUGAAGCCUGUUUUUACACAACAACGAGAGCCAGAAUCCUACCCACACACUCAAUAUGAGGAACGGCAAUCUCAGGCAAAACACUCUCAGGAAGAGCAACCUCAAAUGGGGCAGUCUCAGGGAGAGCAACCUCAAACGGGGCAGUCUCAGGGAAAGCACAUUCAGGGAGAGCAACCUCAAAUGGGGCAGUCUCAGGCAAAACACUAUCAAGGAGACCAACCUGAAGAAGGGCAGGAAGGGCAAUCUCAAGAAGAACAAUCUCAGGCAGGGCCAUAUCCGGGAUGUCAACCUCGUGCAGGGCAAUCUCAUGCAUCACAAUCAACUUAUGGUGGUUGGAAUGGUUUGGAGGAGAACUUUUGUGAUCAUAAGCUAAGUGUGAACAUCGACGAUCCCAGUCGUGCUGACAUAUACAACCCGCGUGCCGGUACAAUAACCCGUCUCAACACCCAAACGUUCCCCAUCCUUAACAUCGUGCAAAUGAGUGCUACAAGAGUACAUCUCUAUCAGAAUGCCAUUAUUUCACCAUUAUGGAACAUUAAUGCUCAUAGUGUGAUGUACAUGAUCCAAGGACAUAUCUGGGUUCAGGUUGUCAAUGACCAUGGUCGAAAUGUGUACAAUGGCCUUCUUAGCCCGGGGCAACUAUUAAUCAUACCACAGAACUAUGUUAUUAUGAAGAAGGCACAACAUGAUGGAAGCAAGUACAUUGAAUUCAAGACUAAUGCAAACUCCAUGGUUAGUCACAUCGCGGGAAAGAGCUCAAUCCUCGGCGCCUUGCCCGUUGAUGUCAUCGCCAAUGCAUACGGCAUCUCUAGGACAGAAGCUCGAAGCCUCAAAUUUAGUAGGGAAGAGGAGCUGGGAGUAUUCGCUCCUAAAUUCAGUCAAAGUAUCUUCCAUAGUUCUCCUACCAGCGAAGAAGAGUCAUCUUAA
This 1704-nucleotide ribosomal RNA is filed under the name Triticum aestivum (bread wheat). RNAcentral's name for it is "partial small subunit ribosomal RNA". Lineage: Eukaryota; Viridiplantae; Streptophyta; Magnoliopsida; Poales; Poaceae. The record is from RNAcentral.